UAAAAAGGACCGAGUCGUCUAAAGUCGCAACGUCCUGUUGCAACGCCGACACUAGCACGUCCUGUGCG
RNAcentral lists this small RNA (68 nucleotides) under Virgibacillus necropolis. Its description in RNAcentral is "Bacillaceae-1 RNA". It matches the Rfam family "Bacillaceae-1 RNA". The record is from Rfam by way of RNAcentral. Lineage: Bacteria; Bacillati; Bacillota; Bacilli; Caryophanales; Bacillaceae.